UGGGGAAUCUUGCACAAUGGGGGAAACCCUGAUGCAGCGACGCCGCGUGAGCGAUGAAGCCCUUCGGGGUGUAAAGCUCUUUCGGCAGGAACGAUAAUGACGGUACCUGAAGAAGAAGCUGCGGCUAACUACGUGCCAGCAGCCGCGGUAAUACGUAGGCAGCAAGCGUUGUUCGGAGUUACUGGGCGUAAAGAGUGCGUAGGCGGUCCUCUAAGUUUGGUGUGAAAUCUCCCGGCUCAACCGGGAGGGUGCGCCGAAAACUGGGGGGCUCGAGUGUGGGAGAGGUAAGCGGAAUUCCUGGUGUAGCGGUGAAAUGCGUAGAUAUCAGGAGGAACACCUGUGGUGUAGACGGCUUACUGGACCAUUACUGACGCUGAGGCACGAAAGCGUGGGUAGCAAACA
Molecule: ribosomal RNA, 402 nt
Filed under: uncultured bacterium
Lineage: Bacteria
Description: bacterial SSU rRNA
Rfam family: Bacterial small subunit ribosomal RNA
Source: RNAcentral